RNAcentral lists this ribosomal RNA (253 nucleotides) under uncultured bacterium. RNAcentral describes it as "partial 16S ribosomal RNA". It matches the Rfam family "Bacterial small subunit ribosomal RNA", at positions 524 to 776 of the family's 1533-position model. The record is from RNAcentral.
UACGAAGGGGGCUAGCGUUGCUCGGAAUCACUGGGCGUAAAGGGUGCGUAGGCGGGUCUUUAAGUCAGGGGUGAAAUCCUGGAGCUCAACUCCAGAACUGCCUCUGAUACUGGAGAGCUAGAGUCCGGAAGAGGUGAGUGGAACUGCGAGUGUAGAGGUGAAAUUCGUAGAUAUUCGCAAGAACACCAGUGGCGAAGGCGGCUCACUGGUCCGGUACUGACGCUGAGGCGCGAAAGCGUGGGGAGCAAACAGG